Non-coding RNA from Xyrichtys novacula (pearly razorfish), 504 nucleotides. NCBI's taxonomy places the organism in Eukaryota, Metazoa, Chordata, Actinopteri, Labriformes, Labridae. The record is from the annotation of a GenBank genome assembly.
GCACCCCUCCAAAAAAGCUGCUAUCUCAGCCUCUGUAGUAGAUAGAAACAAAACUCAAAAAGUAUUUGAGAGCUUAAACAUGUGGCUUUCAAGAAAGCUCUCUUUUAGUUUUGCGAACCUUCAUCACAUUUUUGAAAACCUUGAACAAACAAACUUAAAUGAAAUAAAGCGGCUGAAUAAAUAAAAGUAAAGGCUCUGCACUGGAGAAUGACAAAUAAUUUGUUUUCUGUAAAACAAGUGGCAGUCAUGAUAAAGUGUCCAUUCAAUACAAAUGUAAAUAUAGAAAAUAAGGUGUUGAAAGGGUAUACAGCUGCCCCAGUAUAGUGCCAGUACAAAAGCAGAACUAAAAACUAAAAAAAUGAAUAAAUAAAUAGGUGGCUGACAGUGUGUUCAUCUCUGUUCUCACCCAAAGUCAUGCAACACUCACAGAAAACGCUGAUUGUGUGAACCAAAGCACUCAAUAUGAAGAGGUUGUUCACACUGCUGGAUGUUUCUCCUCUGAAG